GCCAACUUUUGUACUCACAAAAUGAAAAGUAAGAAAGGAAAAAUGUACAUUAAUAUAUUAUGACUCUUUUUUCUUUUCCAUCCGAUAUAUGUUACCUAGACUAAUUCAGAUUCAGAUCGAGUAAGGCCCAUUAAAAGAUGAAAGCUGUUGUGAACAAGGCUAACACAGUAAUGAUUUAUGGGCCAAAUUUGUUGAACAAGACUGAUCCAGUUUGAUUAUCGGGGAGUUAUAUUUGGGAUCCGGGGAUAUGCAGGGCAUGGGAACUAUUGAGAGAAAUGUCUAAAUCCUCUCCUCCCAAUUAUGAGUCUAGCUUCUCAUCCCCUUCUUUGGUUCUGUUCUAUCUUACUUAGCUUCUGCACUUUUGUAUUUUCAUUACUGUUGCUCUAAUUUGUUGAGUUGUAAUCGUUAGAUAUUAUCAUCAAUAUAAUUUGUAUUUUGGAGUUGUUACAUUGGUGCUUUCAUCCGGAGGUCUUCAAUGGAGGACCAAAUAAUUCGAACUAUCGAUGAUUCAAUUAAUGUCAUGAAGUAUUCAUGGUCUAAGGAUUUGGCUGAAAUUCGUUCACUGUUACAGGAGUUGCUUGGAAAUAAGCCCACUCCGGUGGAAUUCCGACGAUUCUGUGGCGAGAAUCCAGAGUUCUGGAUUUCUCUGGCUUAACGAUACUUUGCAUUCUAUGGAAUUUCAGAAAACAACAUGUUACUUCUCGCCUCGUCCUAUCUCGAUGGAGAAGCUUUAGAUUGGUACCGAUGGCUCUUUCAGAACAAGCAGCUGGUGGAUUGGGAACAUUUUAUUGCGAAGGUGCGAAUUCGAUUCCGUCGAAAGGGACUAGAAUCAGUCGAAGGACGAUUGGCGAAGCUCCGACAAACAACUACUGUGUCUGAGUACCAGAGUCGUUUUGAGGCUAUUUUAUUAGGCUUUGGCGAGUCAGAGCAAUCCGAAUACAGAGGCAAAACGGAAGCGUGCAAGGUGUUCGAUGAAAUGUUUGAAAAGGAGAUCGAUCGUAAGCAUAGAUGAAUGUUGGCAAUACCAAUGACCAAGUAUUCAACAUUAGUUCUCUUUCAAACGUAACUACCUUACUCCCUAUAACACCAAUUGAGUUUGCCUUCAAGGAUGGAAAGUCCGAGGAAGAGAGCGAUGUGAAAGUGCUAGUCGAAGGCUCAGUGCCUGCGGUUCAACCGCAGCUGACUGCUACUAGCCUAAUCAAGGAAGCUGCAAAUAUUGAACAGAAAUUGGUUCCAGAGCAUUUUUGCCCAAUCUUACAGCAUCUCGCUCACAGGACGGAAACAGAACAUCUUGAGAAAAUCAUGUGAAAACAUUUGGAGUAUAUUAUCAAGUGUCGAGUUCCAAGUCUUCAAUCUCUUAUCAACCAAACUAUGACUGAGCUGGAAAUUGAGUUGAACCCUCAUAGAAAUCACAUUAUCACGGCACCAGAGAUAAAUUCCAAGACCUUAACUCUAAGAUCCUAUUCAGAGUAUGUGGUUUCUAACUCUAUGACUCACGUUGUGGGAUCCGGGAUGGCAAUGGUGUAUGUAUUUCUCCAUUUUUUUGUCUGAUUUUGCAUUGGUAGUUGCUACAUCUUCAAUUUUUAAUCUCUUUGAUAAUUACUUAGAAAAGAAUAACCUGAAUAAAAAAAGAAAGAAGAUGGAACUGUUUGUGUUCUCUUAUCAGUGCAUGAGUUUGACAUAUGAAGAUGGGUGCCAUGUCUUGCUUGAUGCCUAUGCAUUGGGGCCUAAAGACAUAGAGACUAGGGACAUGCUACUGAAGGCAUUUAAAAGUGACGGUGAUACUUCUCAAGUUGAAGCUUCAACGCUUUCUUGUUUUAGCUUGCACUCACCAGAACAUGACUUGGGGAAGAAUAUAUACUAGUCUUGGAUGAAUAUUUGGACGUUAAACAUAAAGCUUCGGUGGAGAACUUCAUAUGGUCAAUAGUUUCACAACAUGACUUUAGUACUGCCCUUGAUUGUGAAACUGAGAUUUGCUACAGGUGCUUGUUGGAAUGAAUCAUAUUGCACCACUUCAUGCUGUUAUUGGGUUCCAAAACUAUGCGCAAUUUGACGAGAUUCAAACUAGUGUUCGUGGUCCUGUGUAAAUAGUAGAAAGAAAUGGUGAUGAACAUUUAGUUAAAUUCGUGUAUGCCAACAACUGGUCCUCCAAGAUUUGUUUACGUGGACUUGUUGGAAGAAAAAAUUGGUAUACUUAUAUUGUCACUAUAGGUGAUGGUGGGGUGUUACAAUAUUUUGAAUCUGUGGUGGUGGCAGAUAUUGGAGCAAUAUUCUCGUCAAUAGAAAUUAUUUGUAUGUUGCAGGUUCUUUAUCAAGAUAGGGCUCUUUUUCAAUAUACCCUUACAACUAUUGUUAUGCUCAUUAGUACACUGGUCUUUGGCUUCUUGACAAAAUCACUUGUUAGCCAUCUACUUUCUUAUCAUGGCAGUACUAAGAGUAUAGACAGAGAACCAAGCAUCUCAAAAGAUAGGCCUUUGCUUGUAAUUGCAGAAUCUGCAACAAUCACAAUGGAUAUUUGGUCGUGUUGUUUGAAAGACUUGUAUAUGCACUCCAUUCUUACUGGAGGCUCAAUGCUCGCUUACAUCGGGCCAAUAUUUGGUGGGGGACAUGUUGCUAGCAGUGUUCCUAACUCGAACCUUGAGGACAAGGUUCUUUUUGAGGAGGUAGUAUUGUUGUGAACAAGGCUAACACAAUAAGGACUUAUGGGCCAAAUUUGUUAAACAAGACUGAUCCAGUUAGGACUAUUGGGCCAGGACCUAAUUUAAGAGAAAGCCCAAGGAUUAAACCUCUGUUUUAAAAGACAGAAUUGGGACUCGUCCGGGACUCGCCCCGGGGCGGAGCACUCGUAAAACGCCCCUGGGCUUAUGUGUGAGGCUUAGUUCCGCGAGACUUACGCAUCGGCCAUCGGGGCUUACGCCCCGGACACGCCCAACGCCCAGCGUACUGGGCUCGCCUAAUAGAACUUUAUGCAAGUGUAUGUAAUUAACCUUGUAAAUCCUCAAAUUUUCUUAAUAAAUCGUUGACUAUUCAAAAUUA
Nicotiana tabacum (common tobacco) is the source of this 3036-nucleotide long non-coding RNA. RefSeq lists it as uncharacterized. Lineage: Eukaryota; Viridiplantae; Streptophyta; Magnoliopsida; Solanales; Solanaceae. The record is from RefSeq and is a predicted model, not a curated record.